RNAcentral lists this ribosomal RNA (990 nucleotides) under bacterium. RNAcentral describes it as "bacterial SSU rRNA". The record is from RNAcentral.
GGUGACRCUUGUGGAAUGAGCGGCGGACGGGUGAGUAACACGUGGGCAACCUGCCUGUAAGACGGGGAUAACUUCGGGAAACCGGGGCUAAUACCGGGUAAUCUUUUGCAUCGCAUGAUGCAAAGGUAAAAGAUGGUUUCGGCCAUCGCUUACAGAUGGGCCCGCGGUGUAUUAGCUAGUUGGUGAGGUAAUGGCUCACCAAGGCGACGAUACAUAGCCGACCUGAGAGGGUGAUCGGCCACACUGGGACUGAGACACGGCCCAGACUCCUACGGGAGGCAGCAGUAGGGAAUCUUCCGCAAUGGACGAAAGUCUGACGGAGCAACGCCGCGUGAGUGAUGAAGGUUUUCGGAUCGUAAAGCUCUGUUGCCGGAGAAGAACAGGUGCCAUAGGAAAUGAUGGUGCUUUGACGGUAUCCGGCCAGAAAGCCACGGCUAACUACGUGCCAGCAGCCGCGGUAAUACGUAGGUGGCAAGCGUUGUCCGGAAUUAUUGGGCGUAAAGCGCGCGCAGGCGGCUUCUUAAGUCUGAUGUGAAAGCCCCCAGCUCAACUGGGGAGGGUCAUUGGAAACUGGGAAGCUUGAGUACAGAAGAGGAGAGUAGAAUUCCACGUGUAGCGGUGAAAUGCGUAGAGAUGUGGAGGAAUACCAGUGGCGAAGGCGGCUCUCUGGUCUGUAACUGACGCUGAGGCGCGAAAGCGUGGGGAGCAAACAGGAUUAGAUACCCUGGUAGUCCACGCCGUAAACGAUGAGUGCUAGGUGUUAGGGGGUCCAACCCUUAGUGCUGAAGUUAACACAUUAAGCACUCCGCCUGGGGAGUACGACCGCAAGGUUGAAACUCAAAGGAAUUGACGGGGGCCCGCACAAGCAGUGGAGCAUGUGGUUUAAUUCGAAGCAACGCGAAGAACCUUACCAGGUCUUGACAUCCUCUGACAAGCCUAGAGAUAGGCCGUUCCCCUUCGGGGGACAGAGUGACAGGUGGUGCAUGGUUG